RNAcentral lists this ribosomal RNA (618 nucleotides) under uncultured bacterium. RNAcentral's name for it is "bacterial SSU rRNA". The stretch from base 1 to 534 matches the Rfam family "Bacterial small subunit ribosomal RNA", at positions 338 to 873 of the family's 1533-position model. The record is from RNAcentral.
CCUACGGGAGGCAGCAGUAAGGAAUAUUGGACAAUGGUCGCAAGACUGAUCCAGCCAUGCCGCGUGAAGGAUGAAGGCCCUAUGGGUUGUAAACUUCUUUUGUAUGGGAAAAAACCCUUCUACGUGUAGAAGGCUGAUUGUACCAUAAGAAUAAGGAUCGGCUAACUCCGUGCCAGCAGCCGCGGUAAUACGGAGGAUCCAAGCGUUAUCCGGAUUCAUUGGGUUUAAAGGGUGCGUAGGCGGAAUGAUAAGUCAGUGGUGAAAUCCUGCAGCUUAACUGCAGAACUGCCAUUGAUACUGUCAAUCUUGAGUACAUUUGAUGUGGGCGGAAUGUGUCAUGUAGCGGUGAAAUGCUUAGAUAUGACACAGAACACCGAUUGCGAAGGCAGCUCACAAAACUGUAACUGACGCUGAGGCACGAAAGCGUGGGUAUCAAACAGGAUUAGAUACCCUGUAGUCCACGCUGUAACUAUGAUUACUCGAUGUUUGCGAUACACUGUAAGNGUCUAAGCGAAAGCGAUAAGUUAAUUCACCUUGGGGAGUUAGCGCGCGAGAGAGAAGUUAAAGUUAGAGUUAGAGGACGNGGAGAGNGCGACGGACGACGACGAGGGAGGAAGG